Long non-coding RNA from Maylandia zebra (zebra mbuna), 1815 nucleotides. RefSeq lists it as uncharacterized. The record is from RefSeq and is a predicted model, not a curated record. Lineage: Eukaryota; Metazoa; Chordata; Actinopteri; Cichliformes; Cichlidae.
CCGUGUUGCUGUCGGUGAGACCGAGAGCAGCUGAUGGCUUUCGCAGGUCUGCUGUGUGGGACGGGUCGAGUCCAGGUCACAACCGCAAAGUCAUGACUGGAACACUUUCAACGGGAGUGUGAGGGAGCUCCAGCAGCUCGUCCCUGCAGCUGUCGUUGCCACAGACGCACAAAACAAGCGCUCCUCUGUCUGCUGAGACGUCACUAUGUUUGUUUCCGUCUGUUGGCCGCAUCAGGUAACAAAGGGCCGUCCAAGGAGACAUGCACGGUCGUUAGCAGGAAUCAAACCUGAGACCUGUCGUCCGUCAAACAGCAACAAACCUCUGUCAGCGGAUCAGAUUCUCGGCUUGCCUGGCCUCAGACAAACUUCCCCACCGGCCUCGUGUUUAUUUUAAGUUUUUUCUCACGAGUGCAGGUUAACAUCGCCGCAGCUGCUACUGUGCACUUUACUUUAUUUUUUUACUUUAUUUUCAUGGCUUCUGUGCUUCAAAAAGAAGUCCAGCUGUAUAAAAAUAACUCACUGCUCACUUGAUCAUUAAAGGUGGACAUAGCCACGCCCCCUAGUUAUCAAACUUAAUACACAGCGAGACCGUGGCUGUUUUUGUACCAGGCCGUAAACGUGAUUAUUCCUGCUGUAAAGUUUUAAUGAGGACAGACUCACUGCCGGAGCCUCAAGUGGACAUUAGAGGAACUGCAGCUUUUGACACGCCUGCGUUGUCCCUUGCUUCAACAUCAGCGUGACUUUUAUUUUGAAACUUCCUUUCAAUCAAGACUGGACUCAGUUAUUCAGAGGUGCCUGUAACUUCUUUAUUGCAAUAAUGUGAACAAUGUUUUCUUCUUUGCAAACAGAGACAGUAUAAAAGAUGCCAAAGUGAAGCUAACACAAAGGUGCCUUCUUUUAACAGCCAGCAGGGGGCGACUCAUCUGGUUAAACAGGCUUGCUGUAUAAAAACGACCCUCGCUCUGCGAACACAGGAAAGUCUCUCUGAGAGCUCUCGUACCGAAACCUUCAGACGACAGAAAAACUUUGGUCCAAACUCUAAACACUGCAGUACUACUAGAGACUACGAGAUACAUGUGCGUGUAUUUUAACUCAUGUUAACUCUUAUUUCCAUUCAUAUGGAUUCAUGAUGUCUGCACCGCUCCGAGAGAUGCUUCACAUUGCAUCGUUCACCUGUACAUUAACAAAGGCCUUCUGUUCUAUUCAUUUUGUGAAUUUUGCUCAUUUUAAGAUUAUCCGGGUUUGUUCACUGGCUAAGCACUGUUUUGUUUUUGGACUGCUGUUUGAGACACGUCUGCUGAGCUCUUCAGCUUUUGAAACUUAGACUCGUUUUUGUACUUGAACUUUUGUGUUUCCCAGCUCUGUGCCGAGUCCUCCCGUCUUUAGCCCAAGCUUGGUAAAUAUCCUGCAACCUUCAGCUGUUAUUCAGGCACCGGUGGCUGCUCUCACUUCCCUCCAUAAAAAAGCAGAGCUGAGUCUGUGCUUCGCCAACUGUCCCCUUAAAGGAGAUUAGAGUUCUCGGAGCGGAAAAGAAAGUGUUGCUCAUUUGUCUCCCUGCAGGAUUUUCUGUCCCGUCGGUCCGCCGUCCUGCUGACUCUGCGGUAACGGCGUAAAGCUCCAGCUGAUGAUUCAUGGAUCGGAUGACUCAGAUCUUGUGAGUGAAGCUUCUCUGGGCCAAAUCAAGCCGGUAGGAUUCCCCCUGGAUAUUCCCUGCCGUCCUCGGUCUCACGCCUCCGGCUUUCCUGGAUCUCACUGUUUACUCAGUCAGCUCUCACAGUGAAAGCUGAGCCGCGGCUCUGUGUGGAUCUGCUCUGA